This 66-nucleotide transfer RNA is filed under the name Deltaproteobacteria bacterium. Its description in RNAcentral is "tRNA-Arg". It matches the Rfam family "tRNA", at positions 15 to 71 of the family's 71-position model. Rfam says of the family: Transfer RNA (tRNA) molecules are approximately 80 nucleotides in length. Their secondary structure includes four short double-helical elements and three loops (D, anti-codon, and T loops). Lineage: Bacteria; Pseudomonadati; Myxococcota; Myxococcia. The record is from RNAcentral.
GCGGUGAGCGAAACACCCAUUGGUCUUCGAAACCAAGGGUCGCAGGUUCGAAUCCUGCCGGGCGCA